GUGGGUGUAGCUCAAAUGGUCAGAGUGCCGGGUUGUGGCCCCGUAGGCUGAGGGUUCGAGUCCCUCCACUCACCCCA
RNAcentral lists this transfer RNA (77 nucleotides) under Syntrophaceae bacterium PtaU1.Bin231. RNAcentral describes it as "tRNA-His". It matches the Rfam family "tRNA". Rfam says of the family: Transfer RNA (tRNA) molecules are approximately 80 nucleotides in length. Their secondary structure includes four short double-helical elements and three loops (D, anti-codon, and T loops). RNAcentral also lists the same sequence under 1 other name. Lineage: Bacteria; Pseudomonadati; Thermodesulfobacteriota; Syntrophia; Syntrophales; Syntrophaceae. The record is from RNAcentral.